CCGACCGGUGUCGGUGUCGGCUGAGCGCGUUCGUCACUUGUCUCUGCGCCAACGACGAUGACCGCGAGUCAUGCAGCACAUGCAGCUUUCGUCUUGACAACCACUGGACAACGUAGUCCGUGAACCGGUGUCCCGUAGCGACUUCGUCGUGACUGCCUCAGAGAACGUCUAGUACUGCCUUUGCUUGAUUGACGGACGUCGAGGGCGAAACAGAGCGAAGGUGCUGCAAUGCGCUGCCUUGCCACGACAAGUGCCCGUGCUGCAAGUACAGUCAUAACCCCUGUGGAGGGGGAACCGACCCCAUGGAGAACGCAGGGGCUGACGAGCUGCGUUUAAGUAUGCUUUGCUGGUGCUUUUAGCUAUUUCAAAAGACACAAGAAGUGGCCCGACAUCACUUGGCCAUAGGCUGCUCUUCCUCAUCUCAAUGAGCAUAGCUCUUGGAACGCUGGCUCCGCCAAAAAACUAGCCAUAAAGUUCAAAGUAAAGUUUUUAAACCAUG
Rhipicephalus sanguineus (brown dog tick) is the source of this 499-nucleotide long non-coding RNA. RefSeq lists it as uncharacterized. Lineage: Eukaryota; Metazoa; Arthropoda; Arachnida; Ixodida; Ixodidae. The transcript is spliced from 2 exons. The record is from RefSeq and is a predicted model, not a curated record.